RNAcentral lists this non-coding RNA (29 nucleotides) under Cricetulus griseus (Chinese hamster). The record is from RNAcentral. Lineage: Eukaryota; Metazoa; Chordata; Mammalia; Rodentia; Cricetidae.
GGGAUAGAUCGUAGGAUAGCGUAGGCGAA